RNAcentral lists this ribosomal RNA (253 nucleotides) under uncultured bacterium. Its description in RNAcentral is "partial 16S ribosomal RNA". It matches the Rfam family "Bacterial small subunit ribosomal RNA", at positions 524 to 776 of the family's 1533-position model. The record is from RNAcentral.
UACGUAGGGGGCAAGCGUUGUCCGGAUUUAUUGGGCGUAAAGAGCGUGUAGGCGGCCAAGCAGGUCCGCUGUGAAAACUCGAGGCUCAACCUCGAGACGCCGAUGGAAACCAUCUGGCUAGAGUCCGGAAGAGGAGAGUGGAAUUCCUGGUGUAGCGGUGAAAUGCGCAGAUAUCAGGAAGAACACCCGUGGCUAAGGCGGCUCUCUAGUACGGUACUGACGCUGAGACGCGAAAGCGUGGGGAGCGAACAGG